UACGGAGGGUGCGAGCGUUAAUCGGAAUUACUGGGCGUAAAGGGUACGCGGGUGGUUUGUCAAGAUAUCUGUGAAAUCCCCGGGCUUAACCUGGGGAGGUCAGAUAAGACUGUCAGACUCGAGUACGGGAGAGGGUAGUGGAAUUUCCGGUGUAGCGGUGAAAUGCGUAGAGAUCGGAAGGAACACCGGUGGCGAAGGCGGCUACCUGGCCUGAUACUGACACUGAGGCACGAAAGCCAGGGGAGCAAACGGG
This 253-nucleotide ribosomal RNA is filed under the name uncultured prokaryote. Its description in RNAcentral is "partial 16S ribosomal RNA". It matches the Rfam family "Bacterial small subunit ribosomal RNA", at positions 524 to 776 of the family's 1533-position model. The record is from RNAcentral.